Molecule: ribosomal RNA, 485 nt
Filed under: uncultured bacterium
Lineage: Bacteria
Description: bacterial SSU rRNA
Rfam family: Bacterial small subunit ribosomal RNA
Source: RNAcentral
AUUGAACGCUGGCGGCAUGCCUAACACAUGCAAGUCGAACGGAGGUAGGGGCAACUCUACUUCAGUGGCGGACGGGUGAGGAAUGCGUCGGAAUCUACCCUAUGGUGGGGGAUAACACAGGGAAACUUGUGCUAAUACCGCAUAAUGUCGAGAGACCAAAGCAGGGGACCGCAAGGCCUUGCGCGAUAGGAUGAGCCGACGCCCGAUUAGCUAGUUGGUAGGGUAAAGGCCUACCAAGGCGACGAUCGGUAGCUGGUCUGAGAGGAUGAUCAGCCACACUGGGACUGAGACACGGCCCAGACUCCUACGGGAGGCAGCAGUGGGGAAUAUUGGACAAUGGGCGCAAGCCUGAUCCAGCAAUGCCGCGUGUGUGAAGAAGGCCUGCGGGCUGUAAAGCACUUUUGUCGGGAAGAAAUCAUGCUGGUUAAUACCUGGUAUGGAUGACGGUACCGAAAGAAUAAGCACCGGCUAACUUCGUGCCAGCA